RNAcentral lists this ribosomal RNA (253 nucleotides) under uncultured bacterium. Its description in RNAcentral is "partial 16S ribosomal RNA". It matches the Rfam family "Bacterial small subunit ribosomal RNA", at positions 524 to 776 of the family's 1533-position model. The record is from RNAcentral.
GACGUAGGGGGCCAGCGUUGUUCGGAAUUACUGGGUGUAAAGGGUUCGUAGGCGGUGCGGCAAGUUGGGAGUGAAAUCUCUGGGCUUAACCCAGAGGCUGCUUCCAAAACUGCUGUGCUUGAGUGUGGGAGAGGCGCGUGGAAUUGCAGGUGUAGCGGUGAAAUGCGUAGAUAUCGUAAGGAAGACCAGUGGCGAAGGCGAAUCUCUGGACAGUUACUGACACUGAGGCACGAAGGCCAGGGGAGCAAACGGG